CCUCCGUUCUGCCGCCGUGAGGAAUAUUGGUCAAUGGGCUUACGCCUGAACCAGCCAAGUCGCGUGAGGGAAGACUGCCCUAUGGGUUGUAAACCUCUUUUGUCAGGGAGCAACGCCGGCUACGUGUAGCCGGACUGUGAGUACCUGAAGAAAAAGCAUCGGCUAACUCCGUGCCAGCAGCCGCGGUAAUACGGAGGUUCCGAGCGUUAUCCGGAUUCAUUGGGGUUAAAGGGUGCGUAGGUUGUUUUAUAAGUUAGCGGUGAAAUACCGAUGCUCAACAUCGGGGCUGCUGCUGAUACUGUAGGACUAGAGAUCGGAUGCAGCAGGCGGAAUGUGUAGUGUAGCGGUGAAAUGCAUAGAUAUUACACAGAACACCGAUUGCGAAGGCAGCUUGCUAGGCCGGAUCUGACACUGAUGCACGAAAGCGUGGGGAUCGAACAGGAUUAGAUACCCCAGUAGUC
Molecule: ribosomal RNA, 461 nt
Filed under: uncultured bacterium
Lineage: Bacteria
Description: partial 16S ribosomal RNA
Rfam family: Bacterial small subunit ribosomal RNA
Source: RNAcentral